This 498-nucleotide ribosomal RNA is filed under the name uncultured bacterium. RNAcentral describes it as "bacterial SSU rRNA". It matches the Rfam family "Bacterial small subunit ribosomal RNA", at positions 392 to 881 of the family's 1533-position model. The record is from RNAcentral.
CAAUGCCGCGUGUGUGAAGAAGGCCUAUGGGUUGUAAAGCACUUUCAGUGGGGAGGAGGAUUUGGAGAUUAAGAGUCACCAAAUUGGACGUUACCCACAGAAGAAGCACCGGCUAACUCCGUGCCAGCAGCCGCGGUAAUACGGAGGGUGCGAGCGUUAAUCGGAAUUACUGGGCGUAAAGGGUGCGUAGGUGGUUUGAUAAGUUGGCUGUGAAAUUCCCGGGCUUAACCUGGGGCGGUCAGCCAAGACUGUCAGACUGGAGUAUAGGAGAGGGCAGUGGAAUUUCCGGUGUAGCGGUGAAAUGCGUAGAGAUCGGAAGGAACACCAGUGGCGAAGGCGUCUGCCUGGCCUAAUACUGACACUGAGGCACGAAAGCGUGGGUAGCAAACAGGAUUAGAUACCCUGGUAGUCCACGCCGUAAACGAUGUCAACUAGCUGUUGGGUGCAUAGAGGUACUUAGUGGCGAAGCUAACGCGAUAAGUUGACCGCCUGGGGAGU